CACAGAAAGGUUGAGGUGGGAAGGGACCUCUGGGGGACAUCUGGUCCAGGCCCCUGCUCAAGCAGGGCCACCCAGAGCUGCUGGCGCAGAACCACAUCCAGGUGGCUUCUGAAGAUUUGCAGAGCUCUCUCCAGUAAGUCGAGGUCCCUCUUGUACUGGGGAGCCCAGGACUGGACCCAGCACUCCAGGUGUGGCCUCACCAGUGCUGAGCAGAGGGGAAGGAGCAGCUCCCUCCUCUGUUGGCAGCACUUCCAAUGCAGCCCAAGAGACUGCUGGCUUUCUUUGGAGCAAAGAUGCACUGCUGGGCCAUGUUCAAUUUGGUGUCCACCAGGAUCUCCAGGUUCUUCUCUGCAGAACCAUUUUCCAGACAGUUGGGCCCCAGCACUACAGGACCAUGCAUUUCCACGUGCUAAACGUCAUGAGAGCCCAACUCUCCAGCCUGGCCAGGUCCAUUUGGAUGGCAGCCAGGUCCCAUCUGGUGUACCAGCUGCUCCUCCCGGUUUUGUGUUACCUGCACGUUCACUGUGGAUACACCCUGUGCUGUCAUUCAAGUGGCACGAGGGAGAUGUUGAGGGGCGUUGGCCCCAGUACUACUCCCUGGGGCACACCACUUGCCCCCAGGUGGACUUUGUGCCACUGAUCGCAACCUUCUGGACCUCUCAGAUGGUUUUCAGCCCACCACACCAUCCAUUCCUCUAACCCGUGCUAUGCCAGCUUGCCUAUGGGGACGUCAGGGGAGACAGAGCCAAAAUCCACACCAAAAGCAAGGUGAGACAACACCCACUGCUCCCCACUCACUGCCCAGCAACCUCGCUGCAGAAGGCAUUGGGUUUGGGUAAGCACGUUUUCCCCUCCGUGUUUCUCCUUGUGCUGAAAUAGCAGCAGAGCACCAGGACAUGAUAUUUUAAGAAAACAAUGAGAUUAAGAGACAGACACUAAGUGUUCGCAGCGCUUCUGACAGAGAUAAACUGCAGUAUCGGUUUCUAUCAGAUUGAGAGCACGCGGCCUGCACUUCAGGGGGGAGGCUUAAUGAUUUAACAGGGCUUUCCCAUCUCUCGCUAGCAAGCUCCAACAGCACAGAUAGGCGAGCACCAAGCGGAGACAAUUGCAGCUGUAAAUAAAUAAUGAACCCGCUGCACGCAGAAGCCCUCAUCCAGGAACCAAAUCCUGAAGAUGCUGCUCGGGCAUCUUUCACACAAGACACAGGCCAGGUUUCCCCGUGCCCAAUUAUGUUCCACAUCUCCCGGAGGAGGGAUAUUGUUGGUCUCUCUGCUUCCUUUCUACCACCCCUGGGGCUACAGCAUGCAUUUAAUUUAUUAUUAUUAUUUUUUUUAGGUUGUUUCACCAGCUUUUAACGUUCAUGGGAGGGUACAGGGAUCACACACAUGGUAGGAGGGGGCCAAAGAGGAAGGGUUUGGCUUCUGCAUCAUUUCUUUCUUCUUUUUAUUGCCUGCCUCCUUCCACACCUUUCCCACAGUUUCUGUUUCCCAGCUAAGCUACUUUAUGUGACCCUGCUAAGCAAGGACAUCCCGCAGUAUGUCUCUGCGUUGUCACUGCUCUGUCGCCUCCGCUCUUACCUUUGAUUAGGUAGAAACCUCUAAUCUUUGAUGAGAUGGAAAAGGAAGAAAGGCCUGAAACUCCCACGUUCCCUGUCUGCUGGGGAAUAGGGACUUCGAACUCCUGCAUCCUCGCUGACCUCAUCACAGAGGAGGGAUUCUCCUGCAAGCUUCAUCCUCACUGCAUAAUAUUGAGUCUUCAGCCGCCGAGGGCCAGCAUUUAAUCUUUUAAACAUGACAACCUAUGUGGCUCCAACAAGUCCUACCAAGACUUCUCUGCAAGGAAAAAUGAAGCUUACGUGGUACCAACUGCUCUAUUUCCUCUUAACUCCAGGUCAUCGGCAGGUAUUAACUAUGACAGCUAUUAGCUGUGACAGGUAUUAACCAUGACAGCUAAUAAACACACAGUUUAUCCUGAUACAAUUAAAGAAUAGAAAAGGGGAAGAACGUGACUAAAAAGAUCAAAUAUACAGAUCAACAAAGACAAAAAGUCCUGAAAAUGCCACAAAAUCUACCAGCCUUCCUUAUUGCUGCCACUGGGAAAAAAAAAAAGGUAUUUUUAAAUACAAUGAUAGAGGGCAGCAAAUCGACCAAAGAAGGAAAGAAAGGUGUGCUUUCAACGACACCCCCGAGAAAUCCUCCUCCUUGCAGCUGUCUAUGUGACCAUUCACCUUCCUGAUUCUUUCUGAACACCCUGCUUAGACCACCGUACCAAUGACAAACUCGAUUGAGUUGCUUCCCUAAAAUGAGGAUGUCUACACUGACGUGCACCCCAGGGAGAUCUGCUCCCAAAUCCGACAUGAGAGGCUCUGGCAUCCGCAAGUUUUCCGUGACUUGUGGGUGCUCAGCAUCUCCUGGGCAGGGUUUGUCCUCAAAUGGCAGAAAGGAGGAAAAAAAAAUCUCAAAAUACAAAGUGAAACGUGCUUCUGAUGCAAAAUUAGCAUUUGGCAGAGAAGUGACUCACAGUGACUGAGGGCUUCGUGCAUCCCUUCUCUGAAGCAUCCAGGAUCUUUUUCUGGCUCGUGAAUCACCCGAAAAUGGCAGCUGAGCGUGUCUUGUCCUAAGUAAAGCUGAGAGUGUUGAGAAGAUGAAGGGCUCUGCUCUGCUCUCUGAAAUGGCACCGCUGGCAAUGUUUGUGAUGCCAGGACGAGGGGAAACAGCAUCACCAUGGGUUAAAACAUGGGAAGUUUGAUUUGCAGCGAAUUCUUGGGCUUCAGAGACUGCGAGCUGACGGUGGAUAUAGCUGUACAGAGUGCGGGGUCCUGCGUGGGAGGGACCAGAUAUUUAAAAACAUGCGUGCAAAUAGGGAUCCUUUUUGUGGCUGAAAACAUUCCCCUCUGUCGGCAGAGGAUUCCCUUUGGGUAGUUGCUCACCACAAAAUAGUGCCUUCCCAGGCACCCUUCUACUAAUCUCCCCAGCCAAUAUUUCCCGCACCUUCCUAGUGCAAUUGCAUCACCACACUGUUGUCAUGGUUUAACCCAAGCUCAUCCUAACGUAGCUCAUGUUUUGGAAGAAAUGUAGGCACAGCAGCAAAGAAGUAUGCAGGGUAAAUACCAGAGGUCCUCAGACUUGUAAGGAAAGAGAGAAUCACUUCCCACCUGGAAGGAAAGCUGUAGGACCUUGCUGAUGGAGACUCAAGGAGGAGCCCACAAAGGCUUUCUGCAAGGACGAUGUGCAGUAGGAUCACCUGCCUGCCCCAAAGUACCUGCAGAACAUUUCUGCUGAGUGGUAGAAGAGCGAUUUGAGAGCAACAUCGGGCCGGUUGCACAAAGCCGCCCGCAGAAAGCUGCCUUAGCAGGACUGCCACAUCGAGCUCUUCAGCUCAGCACAGCAACAAAGACAGGCAAGGGGGGGG
Long non-coding RNA from Oxyura jamaicensis (ruddy duck), 3411 nucleotides. RefSeq lists it as uncharacterized. The record is from RefSeq and is a predicted model, not a curated record. The transcript is spliced from 2 exons. Lineage: Eukaryota; Metazoa; Chordata; Aves; Anseriformes; Anatidae.